UACGAAGGGGGCUAGCGUUGCUCGGAAUCACUGGGCGUAAAGCGCACGUAGGCGGAUUGCUAAGUCAGGGGUGAAAUCCUGGAGCUCAACUCCAGAACUGCCUUUGAUACUGGCGACCUUGAGUCCGGGAGAGGUGAGCGGAACUGCGAGUGUAGAGGUGAAAUUCGUAGAUAUUCGCAAGAACACCAGUGGCGAAGGCGGCUCACUGGCCCGGUACUGACGCUGAGGUGCGAAAGCGUGGGGAGCAAACAGG
RNAcentral lists this ribosomal RNA (253 nucleotides) under uncultured bacterium. RNAcentral describes it as "partial 16S ribosomal RNA". It matches the Rfam family "Bacterial small subunit ribosomal RNA", at positions 524 to 776 of the family's 1533-position model. The record is from RNAcentral.